CCUACGGGAGGCAGCAGUGGGGAAUAUUGGGCAAUGGGCGCAAGCCUGACCCAGCAAUGCCGCGUGAAGGAAGAAGGCUUUCGGGUUGUAAACUUCUUUGACAGGGGAAGAGCAGCAUACGGUACCCUGACAACAAGCCACGGCUAACUACGUGCCAUCAGCCGCGGUAAUACGUAGGUGGCAAGCGUUGUCCGGAUUUACUGGGUGUAAAGGGCGUGUAGCCGGGAAGGCAAGUCAGAUGUGAAAUCUGGAGGCUCAACCUCCAAAUUGCAUUUGAAACUGUUUUUCUUGAGUACUGGAGAGGCAGACGGAAUUCCUUGUGUAGCGGUGAAAUGCGUAGAUAUCUGGAGGAACAUCAGUGGCGAAGGCGACUAUCUGGCACAUAACUGACGCUGAGGAGCGAAAGCGUGGGUAGCAAACAGGAUUAGAUACCCCAGUAGUC
This 442-nucleotide ribosomal RNA is filed under the name uncultured bacterium. Its description in RNAcentral is "partial 16S ribosomal RNA". It matches the Rfam family "Bacterial small subunit ribosomal RNA", at positions 338 to 795 of the family's 1533-position model. The record is from RNAcentral.